GGACGGGCCCCGCACAAGCAGCGGAGCGUGUGGUUAAUUCGAUGUUACACGAAGAACCUUACCAGGGUUUGACAUGCAAGUGGUAGGAAGCCGAAAGGUGACCGACCCUUCGGGGAGCUUGCACAGGUGCUGCAUGGCUGUCGUCAGCUCGUGUCGUGAGAUGUUCGGUUAAGUCCACUAACGAGCGCAACCCUCGCUGUGUGUUAUAUGUGUCACACGGGACUGCCGGUCUUAAGCCGGAGGAAGGUGGGGAUGAUGUCAAGUCAGCAUGGCCUUUAUAUCCUGGGCUACACACACGCUACAAUGGCCAACACAAUAGGUUGCUAAGCCGCGAGGUGGCGCCAAUCCAUAAAGUUGGUCUCAGUUCAGAUUGUAGGCUGCAACCCGCCUGCAUGAAGAUGGAGUUGCUAGUAACCGCAGGUCAGCUAUACUGCGGUGAAUACGUUCCCGGGGCUU
RNAcentral lists this ribosomal RNA (456 nucleotides) under uncultured Leptolinea sp. RNAcentral describes it as "bacterial SSU rRNA". It matches the Rfam family "Bacterial small subunit ribosomal RNA", at positions 916 to 1381 of the family's 1533-position model. Lineage: Bacteria; Bacillati; Chloroflexota; Anaerolineae; Anaerolineales; Anaerolineaceae. The record is from RNAcentral.